GAGACAUAUUUACUUCAAAUGAUGCCUUUAAAGUUUGAAAAGAUUUUUUCUAAUUCAAAUGUCGACUUUUUGUUACAUGAAAAAAGAUACUUAUUUCAACCCCUCGACUAUAUUGAUACACUUAGUAUGUGGAGUUACUUGUCAAUAGCUGGCGAUGAAACUUUUAAACGCCUUUAAGGGCUGAGAAGGUAAAAAUUAGAAGUCUGCAGACUGCAACGUAAAUCGAUUUCAACACGUUAUGGCUUCUCGAAUAUAUUUAGUUUCCGAUUGAAAUGAGAAUAAACUGAACUUAUAUAUAAAGUGUUUACAAUUAACUUUUUAAACUAGAAAUACUCCAAAGGAGGUUCUCCAAACGCAAGUUAAGCAAAG
This is a long non-coding RNA of Hydra vulgaris (swiftwater hydra), 369 nucleotides long. RefSeq lists it as uncharacterized. The record is from RefSeq and is a predicted model, not a curated record. NCBI's taxonomy places the organism in Eukaryota, Metazoa, Cnidaria, Hydrozoa, Anthoathecata, Hydridae.